UGGGGAAUCUUGCGCAAUGGGGGAAACCCUGACGCAGCAACGCCGCGUGAGUGAUGAAGGCCUUCGGGUUGUAAAGCUCUGUUCUGGGGGACGAAAAUGACGGUACCCCAGAAGCAAGGACCGGCUAACUUCGUGCCAGCAGCCGCGGUAAUACGAGGGGUCCAAGCGUUGUUCGGAAUCAUUGGGCGUAAAGCGGGUGCAGGCGGCCUUGUAAGUCAGAAGUGAAAGCCCUGGGCUCAACCCGGGACGUGCUUUUGAUACUGUAAGGCUUGAGUGUGGGAGAGGGUAGCAGAAUUCCUGGUGUAGUGGUGAAAUACGUAGAUAUCAGGAGGAAUAUCGGUGGCGAAGGCGGCUACCUGGCCCAACACUGACGCUCAGACCCGAAAGCGUGGGUAGCAAACA
RNAcentral lists this ribosomal RNA (402 nucleotides) under uncultured bacterium. RNAcentral describes it as "bacterial SSU rRNA". It matches the Rfam family "Bacterial small subunit ribosomal RNA", at positions 355 to 774 of the family's 1533-position model. The record is from RNAcentral.